AUUGAACGCUGGCGGCAUGCUUUACACAUGCAAGUCGAGCGGCAGCGCGGGGGCAACCCUGGCGGCGAGCGGCGAACGGGUGAGUAAUGCAUCGGAACGUAUCCUCGAGUGGGGGAUAACCCAGCGAAAGUUGGGCUAAUACCGCAUGAGCUCUGAGGAGGAAAGCGGGGGACCUGCGAGGGCCUCGCGCUUGAGGAGCGGCCGAUGUCCGAUUAGCUAGUUGGUGGGGUAAAGGCUUACCAAGGCGACGAUCGGUAGCUGGUCUGAGAGGAUGAUCAGCCACACUGGGACUGAGACACGGCCCAGACUCCUACGGGAGGCAGCAGUGGGGAAUUUUGGACAAUGGGGGCAACCCUGAUCCAGCCAUGCCGCGUGAGUGAAGAAGGCCUUCGGGUUGUAAAGCUCUUUCGGACGGAACGAAAUGGGCGGGACUAAUACUCCUGUCUGAUGACGGUACCGUAAGAAGAAGCACCGGCUAACUACGUG
RNAcentral lists this ribosomal RNA (486 nucleotides) under uncultured bacterium. RNAcentral's name for it is "partial 16S ribosomal RNA". It matches the Rfam family "Bacterial small subunit ribosomal RNA", at positions 29 to 507 of the family's 1533-position model. The record is from RNAcentral.